Long non-coding RNA from Penaeus indicus, 315 nucleotides. RefSeq lists it as uncharacterized. Lineage: Eukaryota; Metazoa; Arthropoda; Malacostraca; Decapoda; Penaeidae. The transcript is spliced from 3 exons. The record is from RefSeq and is a predicted model, not a curated record.
UUGAAAUUGGCUUUUAGCAGACACAUUGAAAUUGCUCAUCUGAAAGAUGGCGAUGACGAGAACCAGAUUGCUUUUAUCAUCUGUCCUUAAGUCCACCUUCUACAAGACUGGUCUGAGGAGGAUAACCAAUGACGUACGGACUUUCACGGACACAGAGACAAUGAGGAUGGCCAAUGGCGAUAAGUUUCCUUCCGGGCUCUUCAGUAAGGGCGAGAUGGACACCCGAAUCACCAACCUUCGCAGACACAUGGAAGAAGAGGGCAUCGCUGCGUGUCUGUUUACAUCGAUACACAACGUUAACUACUUCUCAGGCAU